UGCAUCAUGGGGUUUGGGCUGUAAUGGAAUUUUCUGCAGGUACACUGACUAAACUCUAGGAAAUUACGACUAGUUAACUCCGGAGUGAGUAGGUAUGCCACCGCCAUAGAGCGUGCAAGCCACUAUAUGCUGGCAAGAUUGUGAGGACGAAUAGGACGAGCAUGCAUCAUGACAUAUAACUUUAAGUUAAACCCCCUAUGUAGUAGCUUUAGUACGUGUUUCGUCUACCCUGUUCGUGCUACCUGUCUUUGCCUUUCUAUGCUACCUUUCCCUGUUUUUGAAGACUGGAAGGCAAGUUUAGUUGGUGGGCAGAAUACCUUGCGCUGCAGCCAGAAGGACGUUAAGUUCUCAGGUUGAGUUCUGUAAGGCAUUUCGGGCACGUCAUGUUCAAGAAGCCCCUAUGUAAAUAAAGUUCAAAGAGUUUUUGGAUCUAAAGCAAGGUGAAGAAGCGAGUGUAAUGGACUAUUUAAGAGGUUUACUCGCCUAUCCUAGUAUGUUUUGGAUUAUGUGGAUGCCAGUAAAAAAAGCAAUACAUCCUACAUGAUCUUAAUGUGAAACUUUAGCUCCUAAUGGCAAUUAGUUUGGUUGAAGGAUAUAAGGAAAUGGUCAGUCAGGCUAUUCUAGGAAAUAAUAAGAUUCGUCUACAUCAGGAGUUUAAGUGAAAGAAGUAAAGGAUAUACCUGAUGUGAGGGAGUUCUCGGAUGUGUUCCUCGAAGAUUUGACUAGUUGCGUCCAGAAAGAGAUGUGGAAUUGCGAUUGGGUUGCAGUCCGGGACUCCAUUCACCCUGAAGAUAGCAAUAGGUACCAAGGUUUGAAACAGAGAUUUUAGUGGACCUAUAGCUUAUAAGGUAUAGUUGCUAAAAGGACCUUCAACAGUGCACGACGUGUUCCACGUGUCCCAAUGGAAGAAAUGUCUUCGAGUCCCCAAAUAUGUAUUGAGAUUUUAGAUGUUAACCAUAAACCAGGUUUAACCUCCUCGGAAUAUCCCAUAAAUGUGUUAGAUCAAAAGGAUCGGGUCACUCGAAGAAAAGUUAUUGAGUUUUACGAGAUACAGUGGAACUAACGCCCGCAAGAUAAAGUCACGUAGUAGUCAGAGAAGUAUUUGGAAAAGUAUAAUCCUGAGUUCCUAGUGUCCUGUAAACCCUAGGUUUGUAUAAGUUGUCUUUCGAUGAAGGGCACACCCCUGCCUUGUAGGAGUAACUGAGAAAUAAACUGGUGACGCAUUUCCUGUUCCAUUACUUAGCCCACAGUUUUAAUCUCGGGACGAGAUUCCUUUUUAGGGGGAAAGGAUGUAACACCCCUGGUGUUACGAGAACUAAAACCUUGGCAUGUCAUCAUAUGCAUCAGCAUCAUUUUGAUUGAUACACCUAGAAUGCAUUUCACUAGGUCAAAAUUUUCAAACUAUAUGUGGUGUGUUAUCUUGUUGAGAGCCAAAGGAGUUUGAAGAGUUAGUGAGUGGUCGAGUGAAAGCAAACUACUUCCAAGCUAAAGAUGUCUUGGCCAUGAAAUCCAAGUACUAAAAUUGAACUUUGAGGUGAAGUGUAUUCUUGCUUUAAGUAAGGGAUCAGACUGGUGAGAUUUGUCUGGAGAAAAGCAAUCUCAAAUGAAACACUAAAGUAGCCUAAUAGUGGAAUUUUAAAUCUAGAGAGAAUUUGCUAAAGAUCCAUAUAUCAAAGUUGUAGAGUUUGGAGAGCUGAACAACUUUCAUGUAUGGAGAACUCCAUGUUUUAGAGGAAAAGUUGGAGUAAAAUGCUUAAAUCAAUUUUGAAUCAGAUUUGAAGUUUGCUGAAAAUAAUAUCAACUAGCUGUUUUUGCGUCCUCAUAACUUUUGAUCUAUGAACGGUUUGAAGGUGGACAUUAUAAUAAGGUUGUAGAGCUACACUAGGGAUACAAAUUUGCUUAUACAACCUGUCCCUAAAACCAUGUGAAACUGGGUGUAAAACUAGUCCAAAAUGGGGUUGUAAUACUUGUGGAGUUUCAGACUUAGUGCAAUCUCUGAAACUGAAGAUUUUAUAUUCUGAAGCAACCUUGGAGGCCUGUUAGUGGCUGAUACAUACAGCUAUGGGUUAAAGUUUAUGUACCAAGGUGGAAUACCACAUGUUGGUGUAUAAGUUUGGUUAAAGGUUAUGCCCCUAAAGAUGUAUGGAACUGGGAGAAACAAUGGCCCAAAGAUGCAAUGUGCUGUUCUGGAUUUCAGACUUAGUGAAAAACCAGAACCUGAAACUGUGUGUUUUGGUGCAAUUUGGAAACCCUUUUGAGUUUAAUCCAUAGAGUUUUGAGCCAUACUCCUUGUGUCAAAGUUGAAGAGUGUAUAUCAGUGAACAAGUUCCUUUGAGGAAGGUUGGCUUGGUACUGCAUAAAAAGUGGAGCAAUAGUUGCUUAAAAUAGGGGCUGUCAGACUUCUAGAUUUUUCAGAUUUUGCAUAGUGUCUGAAUUCUAAAUCAGUGUUGGGAGUGCUGUUUGGGGAGCCUGUUCUGCUUAAUCAAUAAGGUUUUGGACUGAAGUUUUUGUAGAAAGUUUGAAGACCAUAUGUUAGUGAAUAAGUGCCUUUAAGUAUGUUGGGUGUGAUCCCACACCAAAAGUGAAGUAAUGGCUGUCCAAAGUUGGACUUUCAGUCUGCGGUGACAGAAGGUUAUUCAGUCAACUGUAGCUUUGGUCCAGUGUGAUUUUCCAAAUUUUUGGAGCUAUUUUGUGACUAAUCCUUGGAGUAUUAAGCCAUAUCAUUAUAAGCAGAGUUGAAGAACAUAUAUUAGUGUGCAAGUUGAUGUGGGGAGGUAGCUCUGUCUCUAUGAAGAAAUGGGAGCAAAAGAAGGAUGAAUCUGGCUCUGCAGUCGAACUGAAGAAGUUCAGAGCAGUUAGUGUAGUCUGAAAUUUCAGACUAGAAAUAGUAACUGGCAGAGACUGAAUCUCAGUGUUGGUGCUCAGUUUAGAGUCCCUGUGCAGCCAAUCCCUGUGGUUUUUGAAUUGAGAGUUUUGUAGCAAAAUGGGAGAUCAUGUAUAGGUGCAUAAAUUCCUUUAAGUCAUCUGGACCUGGUACUACAUAAACUUAGGAGAAAAGGGGUCGCAAAAUGGCUCUGUCAGACGUUAAUGGCUGUUGAUUGGUUCAGAUAAGGAAGUUCGAGCUCAGAGUAAUGUACCCCACUUGUGGGUACUCUAGAUUUGAUUAUAGGUCUUUUUAGCCUAUACAAACUACAGUAACCGGGAAAAGCUAUGUUUACUGAAUAAUCUUGGGGCAAUGAAGUGGGCAUGUUGUGUUAAGAAUAAAGAGAAAAGGGGAGCUGAACUUGAGGUUUCAGUCGAGUAAAACAGCAGGAGCAGUUUCAGAAUAAUCUGAUGGAAGUAUCUCCAUCCACCAAAUUGAUAUAGGGAAUUCUAGGAUAUGCCAGCCCAAAAGAGACUUAUGAGAAAGGAAAGUUUAUUGUCAAAAAUUCACCACCCCGAGGAUAGAUGCAGGAAGGGUGUAAAGCCUAUCUCUUGGAUGAUUCAGCUGCUUCACUGUUGAUGAGGUGUCAUACAUGCAGUAAAGGUGUGCUGGACUUUUUCCCUGAGCUUCCACCUUGCGUGGUAAACAUGCAGGUGUGUGUUGGGGAUUGUUAAUUCGCAUUUUCCCUCUGAAAUAGCCCCAGCCCGACCUCCAUUAAGCCAACUCUUGUUAUGCUAGUUUGGAGCCCAAACUGAAUUGCUUGUGCUCUCGACGAUUUCCUGGUUUCCCCACUGUGCCUCCCUCGUGCAGCAGCAGUAGCGCUCGGCUCAGCUCCCUUCCUUCAUCACACAAAGCCCCACUUCGUCGUGCCUCCACCCUGCUUGGCUUUCCCCAUCGUACGUGGCUGCUGAGCACCUCGCCGAGGCUACAGCAGCGCUCAGCACAGCUCCGGCCCGCCGGCGGUUUUCUCUACUCGACCUCCCUCAUCGCUGCAUCUGGACAUACGCUGCUGCUCGCCGCGCUCCCUGGUGUGCGAGCUUGCUGGCACCCAGUCCUCCUCUCCACGUCAGAGUCCUUACCUCACCAUCAAGACAUCGUCGUCGCGCCGUCAGCUCCCAGAAAAGGAAGUUGAAAUUCAAGAAGUGGUUCCUGAAGAGGAGUCUGCUCCAGUGUUGUAGAUCCAGUGGUGGAGUCCCAUCUAACUGUAGAAAGGUUUUGGAUCUUUUCUGCAACAA
Long non-coding RNA from Zea mays, 4158 nucleotides. RefSeq lists it as uncharacterized. The record is from RefSeq and is a predicted model, not a curated record. Lineage: Eukaryota; Viridiplantae; Streptophyta; Magnoliopsida; Poales; Poaceae. The transcript has 3 exons.